Molecule: RNA transcript, 504 nt
Organism: Schistocerca gregaria
Lineage: Eukaryota; Metazoa; Arthropoda; Insecta; Orthoptera; Acrididae
Exons: 4
Source: RefSeq, a predicted model, not a curated record
CAAACAGAACGUCAACACGACGCAGCUACCGCCAAGCACAGUGUAUUUCAGUAUCUGAUGGAGCAAAGUGUCCGCAACACGAACAAGAGGACCCCGACAACCGUCAGAAAGUGCCCGCCUGUCCAAGAAACAUUGAAGUUUCUCGUCCAGUCGACAAUGAAUUCACUGGGACGAAACGAUGAGAAGAACUGGCAGGAAUCAGUACCUGACGACAGGAAGAGUGUCAGUCAGUUUUUGAGCAAGAACUAUGUGAUGCGGGAGUACAUACGGAACUGCAUACCGAGGGCAAAUAUUUACCGCUAAGAAACGCAAAACUCCUCUGGCUUCUCUACAGUAAAAGGUACCACGGGACUAUAAUACGACGAGAAGACUCGCACACUGCAGAACUUCGUCGUGGAUACACUUCAUUCUGGACAGAUCAACAGUGACUCCUCGGAUGGGGGGCUUAACGAUGACUGAAAUCAUUUUAAAAAUCAGAAAUUCUAGUCCACGAUUGAAUAAAUA